UGCAAUUAGAAAUCGGCGCCGCCAAGC
RNAcentral lists this small RNA (27 nucleotides) under Bombyx mori (domestic silkworm). RNAcentral's name for it is "ovarian small RNA-33421". Lineage: Eukaryota; Metazoa; Arthropoda; Insecta; Lepidoptera; Bombycidae. The record is from RNAcentral.